Molecule: ribosomal RNA, 474 nt
Filed under: Halichoeres chrysus (canary wrasse)
Lineage: Eukaryota; Metazoa; Chordata; Actinopteri; Labriformes; Labridae
Description: partial small subunit ribosomal RNA
Rfam family: Bacterial small subunit ribosomal RNA
Source: RNAcentral
CACUAUGCCUAGCCGUAAACAUUGAUAUUAAUCUACCUGUUUUAUCCGCCCGGGUACUACGAGCAUCAGCUUAAAACCCAAAGGACUUGACGGUGCUUUAGAUCCACCUAGAGGAGCCUGUUCUAGAACCGAUAAUCCCCGUUAAACCUCACCUUUCCUCGUUUCAUCAGCCUAUAUACCGCCGUCGUCAGUUUACUCUGUGAAGAACUUGAAGUAAGCACAAUUGGUACAACCCAAAACGCCAGGUCGAGGUGUAGCCAAUGGAGAGGGAAGAAAUGGGCUACAUUCAAUAAAAAUAAUGAACACGAAUGAUGUUUUGAAAUAAAUAUCUAAAGGAGGAUUUAGUAGUAAGUGGAGAAUAGAGUGCUCUACUGAAAUUGGCCCUGAAGCGCGUACACACCGCCCGUCACUCUCCCCAAGCUAAAAAAGCACAUUUCUAAAAAACAAAAUCUGCAAAGGGGAGGCAAGUCGUAA